GUAUCUGGAUGACUGUAUCAGACUAUAAUACCAAUCCCACAGUAAUUAUACUAGUUGGGAUUGGAAUCUUAACGAAAUACAUGUUUUAUUCAUUGAUAUCUGAAUGACUGUAUCAGACUAUAAUACCAAUCCCACAGUAAUUAUACUAGUUGGGAUUCGAUUCUUAACGAAAUGCAUGUUUUAUUUAUUGGUAUCUGGAUGACUGUAUCAGACUAUAAUACCAAUCCCACAGUAAUUAUACUAGUUGGUAUUGGAAUCUUGACGAAAUGCAUGUUUUAAUUUUUUGUAUCUGGAUGACUGUAUCAGACUAUAAUACCAAUCCCACAGUAAUUAUACAAGUUGGGAUUGGAAAUUUUCCCGAAAUGCAUGUUUUAAUUUUUUAUAAAUGGAUGACUGUGUCAGACUAUAAUACCAAUCCCACAGUAAUUAUACUAGUUGGGAUUGGAAUCUUGCCGAAAUGCAUGUUUUAAUUUUUGGUAUUUGGAUGACUGUAUCAGACUAUAAUACCAAUCCCACAGUAAUUAUACUAGUUGGGUUGAAAAAGACCUUUGUUUGAUGUUACCCUUACGAAAAUGUUCUAUAGAAUCCUAUAGAAUAUGGUAUAGAAUAUUCUAUAUCCUAUAGAAUAUUCAAUGGGACUUGCAAUCCUAUAGAAUAUUCUAUUGUCAUAUUCUAUAGAAGUUCCAGAUCCUAUAGAAUAUUCUAUUGCACAUUCAUAUGCAACAUCGAAUAACAUAUUCUAUAGAAUAUUUUCUAAUGAAAUAGUAUGGGAUAUUCUAUAGAUAAUUUCAUAGCAUGUGAUAAACCUAUAAUUGAUAUCGAUUUAAGCCUAAUUUAUACUGCCUAGUACACAGCAAAAAUCGGUGAAAGUAUUGUG
Non-coding RNA from Paramuricea clavata, 877 nucleotides. The record is from the annotation of a GenBank genome assembly. NCBI's taxonomy places the organism in Eukaryota, Metazoa, Cnidaria, Anthozoa, Malacalcyonacea, Plexauridae.